Molecule: ribosomal RNA, 459 nt
Filed under: uncultured bacterium
Lineage: Bacteria
Description: partial 16S ribosomal RNA
Rfam family: Bacterial small subunit ribosomal RNA
Source: RNAcentral
CCUACGGGAGGCAGCAGUGAGGAAUAUUGGUCAAUGGCCGGAAGGCUGAACCAGCCAAGUCGCGUGAAGGACGACUGCCCUAUGGGUUGUAAACCUCUUUUAUAAGGGAAGAAUAAAUGCUACGUGUAGCAUGAUGCAUGUACCUUAUGAAUAAGCAUCGGCUAACUCCGUGCCAGCAGCCGCGGUAAUACGGAGGAUGCGAGCGUUAUCCGGAUUUAUUGGGUUUAAAGGGUGCGUAGGCGGUUUUUUAAGUUAGUGGUAAAACGUCGGGGCUUCACCUUGAUUUGCCAUUAAUACUGUAAGACUCGAGUUCAGAUGAGGCAGGCGGAAUAAGUUAAGUAGCGGUGAAAUGCUUAGAUAUAACUUAGAACUCCGAUAGCGCAGGCAGCUUGCUAGUCUGCGACUGACGCUGAAGCACGAGAGCGUGGGUAGCGAACAGGAUUAGAUACCCUUGUAGUC